This 497-nucleotide ribosomal RNA is filed under the name uncultured bacterium. RNAcentral describes it as "partial 16S ribosomal RNA". It matches the Rfam family "Bacterial small subunit ribosomal RNA", at positions 28 to 507 of the family's 1533-position model. The record is from RNAcentral.
GAUGAACGCUGGCGGCGUGCCUAAUACAUGCAAGUCGAACGAACGGACGAUAAUCUUGCUGUUCUGAUGUUAGCGGCGGACGUGUGAGUAACACGUGUAUAACCUACCUAUAUUACGGAGAUAACUUCGGGAAACCGGAGCUAAUACCGGAGAAUAUUUUGAACCGCAGGGUUCAAAGGUGAAAUACGGUCUUGCGGGCACUUAUAGAUGGUUCCGCGCUGCAUUAGCUAGUUGGUAAGGUAACGGCUUACCAAGGCAACGAUGCAUAGCCGACCUGAUAGGGUGGUAGGCCACCUGGGAACGGAGCCAGCGUCCAUAGUACUACGGGAGGCAGCAGUAGGGAACCUUCCGCAAUGGGCGAAAGCCUGACGGAGCAACGCCGAGUGAGUGAUGAAGGUCUUCGGAUCGUAAAACUCUGUUAUUAGGGAAGAACAUAUGUGUAAGUAACUGUGCACAUCUUGACGGUACCUAAUAAGAAAGCAACGGCUAACUACGUG